RNAcentral lists this ribosomal RNA (254 nucleotides) under uncultured bacterium. Its description in RNAcentral is "partial 16S ribosomal RNA". It matches the Rfam family "Bacterial small subunit ribosomal RNA", at positions 524 to 776 of the family's 1533-position model. The record is from RNAcentral.
UACGUAGGGUGCAAGCGUUAAUCGGAAUUACUGGGCGUAAAGCGUGCGCAGGCGGCUUUGCAAGACAGAUGUGAAAUCCCCGGGCUCAACCUGGGAACUGCAUUUGUGACUGCAUGGCUGGAGUGCGGCAGAGGGGGAUGGAAUUCCGCGUGUAGCAGUGAAAUGCGUAGAGAUGCGGAGGAACACCGAUGGCGAAGGCAGCCCCCUGGGCUGACACUGACGCCUCAGGCACGAAAGCGUGGGGAGCAAACAGG